AGCGAACGCUGGCGGCAGGCUUAACACAUGCAAGUCGAGCGGGCAUCUUCGGAUGUCAGCGGCAGACGGGUGAGUAACACGUGGGAACGUACCCUUCGGUUCGGAACAACUCUGGGAAACUGGAGCUAAUACCGGAUACGCCCUUAUGGGGAAAGGUUUACUGCCGAAGGAUCGGCCCGGGUCUGAUUAGCUAGUUGGUGGGGUAACGGCCUACCAAGGCGUCGAUCGGUAGCUGGUCUGAGAGGAGGAUCAGCCACACGGGGACUGAGACACGGUCCAGACACCUGGGGGAGGCAGCAGGGCGGAAUAUUGGAGGAGGGGAGCAUGGGGGAUACAGGAAUACCGGGCGGGUGCAGAAGCCAUCCGGGCCGGGGAGGUGUUUAAGGCGGAAGGAUUUGAAGUAUUUUUUUACCGGGCUGUUAUGACGGUACCCGGAGAAUAAGCCCCGGCUAACUUCGUG
This 460-nucleotide ribosomal RNA is filed under the name uncultured bacterium. Its description in RNAcentral is "partial 16S ribosomal RNA". It matches the Rfam family "Bacterial small subunit ribosomal RNA", at positions 30 to 507 of the family's 1533-position model. The record is from RNAcentral.